Long non-coding RNA from Hyla sarda, 855 nucleotides. RefSeq lists it as uncharacterized. The transcript has 2 exons. The record is from RefSeq and is a predicted model, not a curated record. NCBI's taxonomy places the organism in Eukaryota, Metazoa, Chordata, Amphibia, Anura, Hylidae.
GACCCUCCUUGCCAAGGGUUCACCCCUGUUUUAUGUUUCAAGAAGACAAGAUUCACGUUUCCUUGAAGAAGCCUUUAUGUGAUUUUUAGGAGGAAGUGUUUCAGCAAGUUUCAAUGUCAAACUUUAUCUACAAUACAGAUUACAGCUGGAAUGUAGGACUGUUCCCAGUUCAUCAACCCUGUAGACCAGUGUUUCUUAACCAGGGUUCCUUUAGCUGUUACUAAACUACAAUUUUCAGGAUAGGGGAUAAGAUGUCUGAUCACGGGGGGUCCUGACGCUGGGGACCCCCGCAAUUUCUGCUGUGGCACCCCAGUCAUCUGAUGCACUGAGUGAACUUCGCUCCGUGCCGGUUGACUGGCGAUGCGGUGCCGGAGGCUCGUGACAUCACUGCCACGCCCCCUCGUGACUUCAUGGUCACGCCCCCUCACUGCUGCCUCCUAUAGGCUGAAUGCUCCACCAAUCAGACUGUACUUACUCCCUGUGAUGUCAUCAGUCUCUGGGCAGAUUUCCUCUGUCAUGAUGUUUCCUCACAGCUGCUCCUCUUAUAUCUUUAUAGAACCUUCCCAUACCCAUAAUGCAGCAUGAAGGGGCUCGGUGAAGGUGGUGGUGAAGGUGUGUAAGUGUCUGAUGGGGUCACACAGCUCAUAAAAGGACAGCUGCCCCUAUAUCUGCCCCCAUAUAUAUCCUGACUCUAUUACUGGAGAUCCUGUGAGGGUGCCAUUAAAAUGUACAACUUGUCCUGCAAUAAACGAAAAGGGCGUAUAUGACUGUGCGAACGGAAACAAUAAACAAGUGACAUCUCUAAGAAAAAAGAUGAAGGAAUCGCGACGGAAGAAAGAGAUAAAGAGGUUAUAA